UACCAGCUCUCCGAGUGGUGUGGAUGUUUAUUGGGCCUAAAGCAUCCGUAGCUGGCUGGGCAAGUCCCCUGUUAAAUCCACCGAUUUAAUCGUUGGAGUGCGGGGGAUGCUGUUCGGCUAGGGGACGGGAGAGGCAGACGGUAUUUUCGGGGUAGGGGUGAAAUCCUAUAAUCCCGGGAAGACCACCAGUGGCGAAGGCUGUCUGCUAGAACGCGCCCGACGGUGAGGGAUGGAAGCUGGGGGAGCGAACCGGAUUAGAUACCCGGGUAGUCCCAGCUGUAAACGAUGCAGGCUAGGUGUUUGGGCGGCCACGUGCCGCUCUAGUGCCGCAGGGAAGCCGUUAAGCCUGCCGCCUGGGGAGUACGGCCGCGAGGCUGAAACUUAAAGGAAUUGGCGGGGAGCACCACAAGGGGUGAAGCUUGCGGUUU
This 428-nucleotide ribosomal RNA is filed under the name uncultured archaeon. Its description in RNAcentral is "bacterial SSU rRNA". It matches the Rfam family "Archaeal small subunit ribosomal RNA", at positions 474 to 903 of the family's 1478-position model. The record is from RNAcentral.